GCACAUAAUCUAAAUCGAAAACAGAAAGGAAUGAACCCCAAAAGGAGUUAUGAGAUUUUCUUCGACACUUGAAAAUCGUACAAGACAUUUAAGCCAAAAUCGAGCGAAUCGCAACACGAACGGGAUGAAAACAGCAAAAGGAACUCGGACACCAACCUCGACGUACGAAUGAACGAGAUCUCGGAUCUCGACCUCUCUAUUUUUUUCCGUUUCCAAACUCCUCUUUGCUCCAAUCGAUAUCUUUCCCCCUUUCUCACCAACUCUCUCUCAAGCAAACUGUUUGUGAGAUUCCAUAUCCGCAAACUAUGGAGAUUUCAGACCAAGAAAGGGU
Molecule: long non-coding RNA, 331 nt
Filed under: Nicotiana benthamiana
Lineage: Eukaryota; Viridiplantae; Streptophyta; Magnoliopsida; Solanales; Solanaceae
Description: long non-coding RNA (NBEN_LNC016343)
Source: RNAcentral